UGGGGGAUAUUGCGCAAUGGAGGAAACUCUGACGCAGCAACGCCGCGUGAAGGAAGAAGGUCUUCGGAUUGUAAACUUUUGUCUUCGGGGACGAUAAUGACGGUACCCGAGGAGGAAGCCACGGCUAACUACGUGCCAGCAGCCGCGGUAAUACGUAGGUGGCGAGCGUUGUCCGGAAUUACUGGGUGUAAAGGGUGCGUAGGCGGGUAGACAAGUCAGAUGUGAAAUCCCAUGGCUUAACUGUGGGACUGCAUUUGAAACUGUAUAGCUUGAGUGCAGGAGAGGUAAGCGGAAUUCCCAGUGUAGCGGUGAAAUGCGUAGAUAUUGGGAGGAACACCAGUGGCGAAGGCGGCUUACUGGACUGCAACUGACGCUGAUGCACGAAAGCGUGGGGAUCAAACA
This 402-nucleotide ribosomal RNA is filed under the name uncultured bacterium. Its description in RNAcentral is "bacterial SSU rRNA". It matches the Rfam family "Bacterial small subunit ribosomal RNA", at positions 355 to 774 of the family's 1533-position model. The record is from RNAcentral.